CGCGGGGUGGAGCAGUCUGGUAGCUCGUUGGGCUCAUAACCCAAAGGUCGUAGGUUCAAAUCCUUCCCCCGCAACCA
RNAcentral lists this transfer RNA (77 nucleotides) under Candidatus Izimoplasma sp. HR2. RNAcentral describes it as "Candidatus Izimaplasma sp. HR2 tRNA-Met". It matches the Rfam family "tRNA". From Rfam's summary of the family: Transfer RNA (tRNA) molecules are approximately 80 nucleotides in length. Their secondary structure includes four short double-helical elements and three loops (D, anti-codon, and T loops). Further hydrogen bonds mediate the characteristic L-shaped molecular structure. tRNAs have two regions of fundamental functional importance: the anti-codon, which is responsible for specific mRNA codon recognition, and the 3' end, to which the tRNAs corresponding amino acid is attached (by aminoacyl-tRNA synthetases). tRNAs cope with the degeneracy of the genetic code in two manners: having more than one tRNA (with a specific anti-codon) for a particular amino acid; and 'wobble' base-pairing, i.e. permitting non-standard base-pairing at the 3rd anti-codon position. Lineage: Bacteria; Bacillati; Mycoplasmatota; Mollicutes; Candidatus Izemoplasmatales; Candidatus Izemoplasmataceae. The record is from RNAcentral. RNAcentral also lists the same sequence under 2 other names.